This 541-nucleotide unclassified non-coding RNA is filed under the name Benitoa occidentalis. Its description in RNAcentral is "partial external transcribed spacer". The record is from RNAcentral. Lineage: Eukaryota; Viridiplantae; Streptophyta; Magnoliopsida; Asterales; Asteraceae.
UUCGUAUCGUGCGGUGCAUUNUGGUGUCGUAUAUGGCUUUCGAUUGCUUGCUUGGCUUUCUAGCGUUGCAGGUGGUUGAUUGACCUUUCGGCAUCGGGGAUGUCUUCCGUAAAGGUGCAUGAGUGGUGUUUGGUUUGAUACGGGUGGUUGACUCCCUGCUUGUGCAGGCAUGGCCAUGCGUGCUUUCCUUUUCAGCUGUGCGGCAAGGCUUGUAUCGUCUURAUCGUAUAAGUGGGUUUCCUGUGUUGCAUACCUGAUCAACGGCAUCGUUYUGAUCAAAAUCGUACCUUUUUCGUCUAGUGUUGCAUCCGCACCAUUGGAUGAACCGUGUAGCAUUCUCUUUGAUCCAUACAGUURAUGCUCGUUCGUURAUUGUUUGGCCCAUUGAGCGUGUCUUGGUCCCUUGAAUAUGGAAGCCAAAAUGGGCACGGGAUCGCAAGAUCCAUUUUAGUGCCCUUAUUGAGCGUUCUCGCUUCUCUUACACGACUGUCUCUCACGUAUGGCACGUCCCAGCGUGUUUGGCUAUGUCGAAGAGGAAUGU